Molecule: ribosomal RNA, 496 nt
Filed under: uncultured bacterium
Lineage: Bacteria
Description: partial 16S ribosomal RNA
Rfam family: Bacterial small subunit ribosomal RNA
Source: RNAcentral
AUGAACGCUGGCGGCGUGCCUAAUCCAUGCCAGUCGCGCGAACAGACGAGGAGCUUGCUCCUCUGACGUUAGCGGCGGACGGGUGAGUAACACGUGGAUAACCUACCUAUAAGACUGGGAUAACUUCGGGAAACCGGAGCUAAUACCGGAUAACAUGUUGAACCGCAUGGUUCAACAGUGAAAGACGGUCUUGCUGUCACUUAUAGAUGGAUCCGCGCCGCAUUAGCUAGUUGGUAAGGUAACGGCUUACCAAGGCAACGAUGCGUAGCCGACCUGAGAGGGUGAUCGGCCACACUGGAACUGAGACACGGUCCAGACUCCUACGGGAGGCAGCAGUAGGGAAUCUUCCGCAAUGGGCGAAAGCCUGACGGAGCAACGCCGCGUGAGUGAAGAAGGUCUUCGGAUCGUAAAACUCUGUUAUUAGGGAAGAACAAAUGUGUAAGUAACUAUGCACGUCUUGACGGUACCUAAUCAGAAAGCCACGGCUAACUACGUG